UACGAAGGGAGCUAGCGUUGUUCGGAAUUACUGGGCGUAAAGGGCGCGUAGGCGGUUUUGUAAGUCAGAUGUGAAAGCCCCGGGCUUAACCUGGGAGGUGCAUUUGAAACUGCAAGACUAGAGAUCGAGAGAGGAAAGUGGAAUUACGAGUGUAGAGGUGAAAUUCGUAGAUAUUCGUAAGAACACCAGUGGCGAAGGCGGCUUUCUGGCUCGAACCUGACGCUAAGGCGCGAAAGCGUGGGGAGCAAACAGG
RNAcentral lists this ribosomal RNA (253 nucleotides) under uncultured bacterium. RNAcentral's name for it is "partial 16S ribosomal RNA". It matches the Rfam family "Bacterial small subunit ribosomal RNA", at positions 524 to 776 of the family's 1533-position model. The record is from RNAcentral.